CGCAAGGGGUGACUGAGUGGCGAACGGGUGAGUAACGCGUGGGUGACCUACCUUCGAGUGGGGGAUAACGUCCCGAAAGGGACGCUAAUACCGCAUGACAUCCUGCCUUUGAAUAGGUGGAGAUCAAAGCUGGGGAUCGCAAGACCCGGCGCUUGAUGAGGGGCCCGCGUCCGAUUAGCUAGUUGGUGGGGUAACGGCUCACCAAGGCGACGAUCGGUAUCCGGCCUGAGAGGGCGGACGGACACACUGGGACUGAGACACGGCCCAGACUCCUACGGGAGGCAGCAGUGGGGAAUUGUUCACAAUGGGCGCAAGCCUGAUGACGCAAUGCCGCGUGGAGGAUGAAGGUCUUCGGAUUGUAAACUCCUGUUGCCAGGGACGAAUAGCUCCGACCUAAUACGUCGGAGUAUGACGGUACCUGGUGAGGAAGCCCCGGCUAACUCUGUGCCAGCAGCCGCGGUAAUACAGAGGGGGCAAGCGUUGUUCGGAAUUACUGGGCGUAAAGGGCGCGUAGGCGGCCUUCUAAGUCGAACGUGAAAUCCCCGGGCUCAACCCGGGAACUGCGUCCGAUACUGGGAGGCUUGAAUCCGGGAGAGGGAUGUGGAAUUCCAGGUGUAGCGGUGAAAUGCGUAGAUAUCUGGAGGAACACCGGUGGCGAAGGCGGCAUCCUGGACCGGUAUUGACGCUGAGGCGCGAAAGCUAGGGGAGCAAACGGGAUUAGAUACCCCGGUAGUCCUAGCCCUAAACGAUGAAUGCUUGGUGUGGCGGGUAUCGAUCCCUGCCGUGCCGAAGCUUACGCAUUAAGCAUUCCGCCUGGGGAGUACGGUCGCAAGGCUG
RNAcentral lists this ribosomal RNA (837 nucleotides) under uncultured Acidobacteriota bacterium. RNAcentral describes it as "bacterial SSU rRNA". It matches the Rfam family "Bacterial small subunit ribosomal RNA", at positions 78 to 896 of the family's 1533-position model. The record is from RNAcentral. Lineage: Bacteria; Pseudomonadati; Acidobacteriota.